GAUGAACGCUGGCGGCGUGCCUAAUACAUGCAAGUCGAGCGAACAGACGAGGAGCUUGCUCCUCUGACGUUAGCGGCGGACGGGUGAGUAACACGUGGAUAACCUACCUAUAAGACUGGGAUAACUUCGGGAAACCGGAGCUAAUACCGGAUAAUAUAUUGAACCGCAUGGUUCAAUAGUGAAAGACGGUUUUGCUGUCACUUAUAGAUGGAUCCGCGCCGCAUUAGCUAGUUGGUAAGGUAACGGCUUACCAAGGGGACGCUGCGUAGCCGCCCUGAGAGGGUGAUCGGCCACACUGGAACUGAGACACGGUCCAGACUCCUACGGGAGGCAGCAGUAGGGAAUCUUCCGCAAUGGGCGAAAGCCUGACGGAGCAACGCCGCGUGAGUGAUGAAGGUCUUCGGCUCGUAAAACUCUGUUCUUAGGGAAGACCAAAUGUGUAAGUAACUAUGCACGUCUUGACGGUACCUAAUCAGAAAGCCACGGCUAACUACGUG
This 497-nucleotide ribosomal RNA is filed under the name uncultured bacterium. RNAcentral describes it as "partial 16S ribosomal RNA". It matches the Rfam family "Bacterial small subunit ribosomal RNA", at positions 28 to 507 of the family's 1533-position model. The record is from RNAcentral.